Molecule: long non-coding RNA, 960 nt
Organism: Parus major (Great Tit)
Lineage: Eukaryota; Metazoa; Chordata; Aves; Passeriformes; Paridae
Exons: 4
Source: RefSeq, a predicted model, not a curated record
GGGCUCCCAGGGGAUGGCAGAAUUUGGCCUCUCAGCCUCUUGUCUGGUCUGUGUGUUUGCAGAUAGACAAACCCAGACUCUGCUUUGCUCCACAGUCUAGAGCAGCCCUUUGGAGGAACGUUCCUGAGGGGAAAAACUCCUCUUGCCUCCUGUGGGAGACCCUGUCCUGUGAAAAUAUCCCAGUCCUCCUCUGAGCUGAGCAGCACUAAACCACCCAACUCCAGGAGAAACCAAACUCUCACUGCAUGAACCAUGGCUUGUGAACACAACUGAAUAGAUCCAGAAUGAUUCAGCAGAUGAGGUGCAAGUUUUACACAGCCCAGGUGAUGUCACUGCCCCACAUGUGAAGCUCUGGAAGGAGACCCCGGCAAUGCAGUCUGCUAGGAAGCAUCACUUCAUAAAACUGCCUGAAACAACAGAAAAAGCCUCUAACUGAGAGGUUAAGACAGAAAUCAGCUUUGCAGAAUUCUAUUGGGGCGUCCUAAAACUGAGAAAAUUCAGAAAUGUGCUUGUCUGCCGAGGAAGGCCAACCCCACACACUGGGCUGAAAUAAAAGGCUACAAAAAUAAUUUCAAAGGAAGACUUUUCUCAUCAAAACUUCUUUUGCAUUUUCUUGAAUGGCAAAGAGGGGGGGAAAAAGCCACUUAAUGAAUAUCUUAAUUGCAACGAGGCAUUCUGGUUUUAUGAUUUUAUGAGGCAAGUAAUAGUUUAUUUUUAUUUUUUAGCUGCAGAACUGAUAUCAACUGCAUAAUCACCAAUAAAGAAAGCUUCCCUAGAGAUGGACUCUAAUUCCUUAGAAAAUCAGUAUUUUUUUACCUUUUUGUUUUUCAUUUUUAGACUCUAUUUGCUGAAAACUAUUUUGUACAUCACUCCUCAAAUCACACCAAGUUACAUUUAACAAGAAUAAAAACCCCCUGUACAAUUAAGAAUCCUAUUUGUAAAAACUUUAGCCAGCCUGCA